Molecule: transfer RNA, 76 nt
Filed under: Clostridia bacterium
Lineage: Bacteria; Bacillati; Bacillota; Clostridia
Description: tRNA-Gln
Rfam family: tRNA
About the family: Transfer RNA (tRNA) molecules are approximately 80 nucleotides in length. Their secondary structure includes four short double-helical elements and three loops (D, anti-codon, and T loops).
Source: RNAcentral
UGGGCUGUCGCCAAGCGGUUAAGGCAUGGGACUUUGACUCCCACAUUCGCGCGUUCAAAUCGCACCAGCCCAGCCA